UGGGGAAUCUUGCACAAUGGGGGCAACCCUGAUGCAGCGACGCCGCGUGAGCGAUGAAGCCCUUCGGGGCGUAAAGCUCUUUCGACCGGAACGAUAAUGACGGUACCGGGAGAAGAAGCUGCGGCUAACUACGUGCCAGCAGCCGCGGUAAUACGUAGGCAGCAAGCGUUGUUCGGAGUUACUGGGCGUAAAGAGUGCGUAGGCGGUUUUCUAAGUUCGGUGUGAAAUCUCCCGGCUUAACUGGGAGGGUGCGCCGAAGACUGGGAAGCUGGAGUGUGGGAAAGGCAGGCGGAAUUCCUGGUGUAGCGGUGAAAUGCAUAGAUAUCAGGAGGAACACCGGCGGUGUAGACGGCUUGCUAGACCAUAACUGACGCUGAGGCACGAAAGCGUGGGUAGCAAACA
RNAcentral lists this ribosomal RNA (402 nucleotides) under uncultured bacterium. Its description in RNAcentral is "bacterial SSU rRNA". It matches the Rfam family "Bacterial small subunit ribosomal RNA", at positions 355 to 774 of the family's 1533-position model. The record is from RNAcentral.